GCAGGUAGAGCUCAGUAGCAGAGUGCAUGCUUAGCAUGCAUGAGGUCCUGGGUUCAAUUCCCAGCACCUCCU
Molecule: transfer RNA, 72 nt
Organism: Camelus ferus (Wild Bactrian camel)
Lineage: Eukaryota; Metazoa; Chordata; Mammalia; Artiodactyla; Camelidae
Rfam family: tRNA
About the family: Transfer RNA (tRNA) molecules are approximately 80 nucleotides in length. Their secondary structure includes four short double-helical elements and three loops (D, anti-codon, and T loops).
Source: Rfam